RNAcentral lists this ribosomal RNA (617 nucleotides) under uncultured bacterium. Its description in RNAcentral is "bacterial SSU rRNA". It matches the Rfam family "Bacterial small subunit ribosomal RNA", at positions 60 to 684 of the family's 1533-position model. The record is from RNAcentral.
AGUCGAACGAGAACCGCUCGCCUCGUAAGAGACGGACGGGGACAGUGGCGAACGGGUGCGUAACACGUGAGAAACCUGCCCCGAAGAUCGGGAUAGCCCGGGGAAACCCGGAUUAAUACCGAAUACCCUCGUGGGGUCGCAUGACCCCGCUAGGAAAUGGUCCGCCGCUUCGGGAUGGUCUCGCGGCCUAUCAGCUAGUUGGUGAGGUAACGGCUCACCAAGGCAGCGACGGGUAGCUGGUCUGAGAGGACGAUCAGCCACACUGGGACUGAGACACGGCCCAGACUCCUACGGGAGGCAGCAGCAGGGAAUAUUGCACAAUGGGCGAAAGCCUGAUGCAGCGACGCCGCGUGCGGGAUGAAUGCCUUCGGGUUGUAAACCGCUUUCAGGAGGGACGAAAAUGACGGUACCUCCAGAAGAAGGCCUGGCCAACUACGUGCCAGCAGCCGCGGUAAUACGUAGAGGCCGAACGUUGUCCGGAUUUAUUGGGCGUAAAGGGCUCGUAGGCGGUUUGACAAGUCGGUCGUGAAAACCCGGGGCUCAACCCCGGGACGCCGAUCGAAACUGUCAUGACUAGGGUCCGGUAGAGGUGAGUGGAAUUCUCGGUGUAGCGGUGA